RNAcentral lists this ribosomal RNA (468 nucleotides) under uncultured bacterium. RNAcentral's name for it is "partial 16S ribosomal RNA". It matches the Rfam family "Bacterial small subunit ribosomal RNA", at positions 28 to 507 of the family's 1533-position model. The record is from RNAcentral.
GACGAACGCUGGCGGCGUGCUUAACACAUGCAAGUCGAACGGAAAGGCCCUGCUUUUGUGGGGUGCUCGAGUGGCGAACGGGUGAGUAACACGUGAGUAACCUGCCCUUGACUUUGGGAUAACUUCAGGAAACUGGGGCUAAUACCGGAUAGGAGCUCCUGCUGCAUGGUGGGGGUUGGAAAGUUUCGGCGGUUGGGGAUGGACUCGCGGCUUAUCAGCUUGUUGGUGGGGUAGUGGCUUACCAAGGCUUUGACGGGUAGCCGGCCUGAGAGGGUUAACGGCCACAUUGGGACUGAGAUACGGCCCAGACUCCUACGGGAGGCAGCAGGGGGGAAUAUUGCACAAUGGGCGGAAGCCUGAUGCAGCAACGCCGCGUGCGGGAUGACGGCCUUCGGGUUGUAAACCGAUUUCGCCUGUGACGAAGCGUGAGUGACGGUAAUGGGUAAAGAAGCACCGGCUAACUACGUG